RNAcentral lists this ribosomal RNA (301 nucleotides) under uncultured bacterium. Its description in RNAcentral is "partial 16S ribosomal RNA". It matches the Rfam family "Bacterial small subunit ribosomal RNA", at positions 509 to 807 of the family's 1533-position model. The record is from RNAcentral.
CAGUCGCCACGGUAAUACGUAGGGUGCAAGCGUUAAUCGGAAUUACUGGGCGUAAAGCGUGCGCAGGCGGUUAUAUAAGUCAGAUGUGAAAUCCCCGGGCUCAACCUGGGAACUGCAUUUGAGACUGUAUGGCUAGAGUGUGUCAGAGGGUGGUAGAAUUCCACGUGUAGCAGUGAAAUGCGUAGAUAUGUGGAGGAAUACCGAUGGCGAAGGCAGCCCCCUGGGAUAACACUGACGCUCAUGCACGAAAGCGUGGGGAGCAAAUAGGAUUAGAUACCCCCGUAGUCCCUGUCUCUUAUAC